AACGAACGCUGGCGGCAGGCCUAACACAUGCAAGUCGAGCGCACCUUCGGGGUGAGCGGCGGACGGGUUAGUAACGCGUGGGAACGAUACCCUUUCGGUACGGAAUAGCCUCUGGAAACGGAGAGUAAUACCGUAUGAGCCCUUCGGGGGAAAGGAUUUAUCGCCAAAGGAUUGGCCCGCGUUAGAUUAGAUAGUUGGUGGGGGUAAUGGCCUACCAAGUCUACGAUCUAUAGCUGGUUUUAGAGGAUGAUCAGCAACACUGGGACUGAGACACGGCCCAGACUCCUACGGGAGGCAGCAGUGGGGAAUCUUGGACAAUGGGGGCAACCCUGAUCCAGCCAUGCCGCGUGAGUGAUGAAGGGCCUUAGGGUCGUAAAGCUCUUUCGCCUGUGAAGAUAAUGCGGUAGCAGGUAAAGAAACCCCGGCUAACUCCGUGCCAGCAGCCGCGGUA
Molecule: ribosomal RNA, 451 nt
Filed under: uncultured bacterium
Lineage: Bacteria
Description: bacterial SSU rRNA
Rfam family: Bacterial small subunit ribosomal RNA
Source: RNAcentral